Molecule: non-coding RNA, 823 nt
Organism: Rattus norvegicus (Norway rat)
Lineage: Eukaryota; Metazoa; Chordata; Mammalia; Rodentia; Muridae
Source: RefSeq, a predicted model, not a curated record
GGCAACAGCCAAUCUUCAGCUGGCGGAGCAGCCCUUCCUUACUGGUGCCCAAGCAGGGAACCAGAUGCCAGGAAUUUGGGCUUGACUUCUUGUUCAGACUGUGGGAGAAAACCACCACUUUCCCAAAUGCCUGGCUAAGUAAAAUUGAAGUCAAAAGUACAGAUCCCCAGAACUGUGGAAAAAUGCGGAAGUUAAAACCAGCCUUUUAAAGUAAGUGUCCUAGGAAAACAUACCAGGCACUGGAGAAAUCUAGGAUCAUGAGUGGAGAACAAAAACUGAAGGAAGAUAGAAAGCCUGGAGAGAUGCAUCGCAGAAGAAGGAAGAACCUGGGCAUUUUCUGAGAUACUUGUCCACAGAUAAAACUAGGAAAGGAUGCACAUAAAAUAUAAUGUAGUAUUUACGAUUUUCAACAUCUAACAGUGUUUUCUGGAGUUUGGCAUAGGUAUGAGUUUCUAUCUAUGUGGGAACUAAUAGCUUAAAAUCAGCAUGUCAGUUAACCACUUUGGAUAUCAAAUUGCCCCAAACCACAGAACAUUCUAUAAUGUUCAGUUAGGAUUGAAACUAUGAAGAACAAAGACAACCUCAAGCAUAUUCAAACAAUGGGAAACCUCCCCUACUAAGAAGGAGACUACCAAAACCACUGAGGAUCUUGAAGCGUAGAAGAGGACAUCAGAUCUCCAGGAUUGGAGUCACAGUUAUGAGCUGAGAUAUUGGUGCUGGUAAUGGAACUGGAUCGUCUAACAACCAAGGCAUGUAACUCUUGCAUCGUCUCCCUAGCCCUAUUCUAUUUUUCUUAUUAAUAAAGAUGAAAAAUAAACUAAAA